Molecule: ribosomal RNA, 1322 nt
Filed under: metagenome
Description: bacterial LSU rRNA
Rfam family: Bacterial large subunit ribosomal RNA
Source: RNAcentral
AGUGGAUGGGGAGCAACCUAGUUGUGCGUGUGUAAAGGUAGUGCCAAGAAAAGCGAUGAUCAUGUUGAAAAUCAAUUCCCGGUACCCGAAACCGACACAGGUGGGCAAGUAGAGAAUACUAAGGGGCGCGAGGUAACUCUCUCCAAGGAACUCGGCAAAAUGACCCCGUAACUUAGGGAGAAGGGGUGCCACCGAGAGGUGGUCGCAGUGAAGAGGCCCAGGCGACUGUUUAGCAAAAACAUAGGUCUCUGCAAACUCGAAAGAGGAGGUAUAGGGGCUGACGCCUGCCCAGUGCCGGAAGGUUAAAGAAGUUGGUCAGUCUUAGGAUGAAGCUAGCGACUGAAGCCCCGGUGAACGGCGGCCGUAACUAUAACGGUCCUAAGGUAGCGAAAUUCCUUGUCGGGUAAGUUCCGACCCGCACGAAAGGCGUAACGAUCUUGGCGCUGUCUCGGAGAGAGGCUCGGCGAAAUAGGAUUGUCUGUGAAGAUACGGACUACCUGCAUUUGGACAGAAAGACCCUAUGAAGCUUUACUAUAGCUUGGAAUUGUGUUCGGGCUUCCUGUGCGCAGGAUAGGUGGGAGGCGUAGAAGGUAUUCUUGUGGGGAUACUGGAGCCAACGGUGAGAUACCACUCUCAGGAGGCUAGAAUUCUAACUUAAUUAAGGACAGUUUCAGGUGGGUAGUUUGACUGGGGCGGUCGCCUCCAAAAAGGUAACGGAGGCGUACAAAGGUUCCCUCAGACUGGUUGGAAAUCAGUCGAAGAGUGCAAAGGCAGAAGGGAGCUUGACUGCGAGAAGUACAGUUCGAGCAGGGUGGAAACACGGUCUUAGUGAUCCGACGGUGCUGUGUGGAAGGGCCGUCGCUCAACGGAUAAAAGUUACUCUAGGAUAACAGGCUGAUCUCCCCCAAGAGUUCACAUCGACGGGGAGGUUUGGCACCUCGAUGUCGGCUCAUCGCAACCUGGGGCGGAAGUACGUCCCAAGGGUUGGGCUGUUCGCCCACUAAAGCGGUACGUGAGCUGGGUUCAGAACGUCGUGAGACAGUUCGGUCCAUAUCCGAUGUAGGCGUGAGAAUAUUGAGAGGAGCCUUCCUUAGUACGAGAGGACCGGGAAGGACGCACCGCUGGUGUACCUGCUAUGAUGCCAAUUGUAAACGCAGGGUAGCCAAGUGCGGAGAGGAUAACCGCUGAAAGCAUCUAAGUGGGAAGCCCACCUCAAGAUGAGUAUUCUGGUGUAAGGUCACGGGAAGACGACCCGUAAAUAGGCACGAGGUGGAAGUGCAGAGAUGUAUGAAGCCGAAGUGUACUAAUAGACCGUCGGCUUG